AGGGGUGUACUUUGCUUUCGCUGGGUGGGGCGAGUUCCGAGCCCAGCGGUGGUAUCACGGUUAGGCCUUAAGAUCGCUGACGUCACUGUGUUGUUCCUCGAGGUGCCGUCCUGCGGCUCCUAGUCUUCCCUGUGGCCCCACGGCUCGGGGCGACCCCCUUUUCCCAAAACGGACAGAGGAGCUGGACUGGGAGCUGCGUCAUCCGGGUGGCGUGUGUCCGACCACCCACACAGAGGGUUGCGAAAGCGCGGCAGCCGCCGACGUCUCUGCGCAGAACCCCAGGGGCGGGCCUGGCGCGCCCUCUGACCUUGCGCCACUAUUUCGUCUUAAGCUGGCCAGGUAGUCGGGGCCCUGACUGUCUUUCUGUUCUAUGGUGUUUGGGGUCGCAAACACGUGAAGCCAGACCCAUUUACCUUUGCACAAAUGGGCACCAAAAAAAAAAAAAAAAAGAGAGGAAAUGCAAGCAAAUUUAUUAGGUAACCUGAGAAAAUGAAAAGCGCGCGCCAUAGAGAGGUAAUAUCUUUAAAUAAGGAAAAGAUAAAAAUGGCAUGUCACCUCCGAGAAAUCUCAUGCACAGCAAGGAGUUCCACAGAUUUUUUUUGUUCCAGGCUCCACCUCUCCACUUGGCCUGUGUUACUUAAUAUUAAUAGAAAAAAGACCUAAAAUCGCAAUAAAAGUCUCUGAUAGUGCCAACUGGCUUAGCAUCAAAAUUGAAAUACAAAAUGCAGUUUCAAAACUUACUUGGUUCUCAGAGCUGCUGGGUAAUUAUUUCCUGUACCUCUCAACAGCACUCAUUUACUCAUUCACUUUGGUUUUGGCCGCUUAGCAUAAUAGGUAAGAAUAUGGACUCUGAAGCCAGAGAGCAUGAGUUUAAGUGCUGACUAUGCAAUUACUUAGCUGAAUGACCUUGAAUUAAUUGAUGUCUCUGUCCCUCAUCCCCCCAUCUGUAAAAUGGGGAUAAUGGUAGGACCUACUUACUAGGGUUGCUGUGGGGAUUAAUAUUUUUAAAGUGCUUAGAGCAGUUUCUGACUCAGAAUAAGAGCUUGGUAAGCUUUUGUUUAAAAAAUAAUAUUUACUAAGUUUGGCUUACUGGGUAUCAGGUAUUGGGACUAGAAUGGUGCAGCAGACAGACUCUAAAGUAACUACCAUGAUCCCUGCCUCCUGGGUUGUGUAAUCCCCUCCCCUCGAAGGUGGGCAGGACCCAUGACUCACUUCCAAUAGAAUAUGGAAAAGGUGAUGAGAUAAUCAUUCCCAUGAAUACAUUAUGCUAUAUGACAAAAGUGAUGGGAUGUCACUCCAAUUAUUAGGUUAUAUUAUUUAAGACUUUUUGCUAGCAGACUCACUUUGACUUUUUUUUUACUGGCCUUGAAGAAACAAACUGCUAUGUUGAGAACUGCCUAUGGAGAGAGCCACAUGGCAGGGAACUUCACACAUGUUCUAGGAGCUGAGAGUGGCCUCCAGCCAGUAAAAAUACAAAUAAACAAAAAACCCUUAAGUUUGCAGUCCUACAGCCAUGAGGAAAUAAAUUCUGCCAACAACUUGCCAGCUUGGAAGUGGAUUCUACUCCAAUCGAGCCUCCAGAAGAGAAUGCAGCCCAGCUGACACCUUGAUUGCACUGCAGUGAGACCUUGAAGCAGAAAACUAAGCCUUGCCCAACACCUGGAUUACAGCCUUUUGAGAGACCCUGAACCAGAUGCCCCAGGUAGCUGAACAGGUUGGAGAAAAACACACAACCAUUCUGACUGGAGUCACUUUAAAUUCAUAACUACAAUACUACGCAAAUACCAUAUAUUUCUAUAGUCCACUCAUUUUGCAAUUCUCCUAGAUAACUGUUUCACAUCUUUUAUUUCUCUCAAAGAGAAACGUUUGUAAUAACCUUCUCCCCCAUGCUCAUUCUCAGCAGAUAACCUUGCUUCUCCUUUCAUUGAGAAAAAGGAACAAUCAGAAAAGAGCUUCCUCAAGCUCCCACCACCACAUCCAGCCAUCUACUGUAUCUGUACCUGUAUUUUUAUCUUGUCUCCAAGUGCUUAGAAUAAACUAUCAUGGUCCAAUCCUUCUACCCAUGAGCUAGGUCCCAUCCCCUUAUGCCUCCUUAAGGAUAUCAUGAUUCCUAAUAGGUAUCUCAAAAUUGGCAUGUCUUUAACUAAGCUCCUGAUCUACUCCUAUUAUCCUCUCCACUCUGCCCCACAUACAAACCUACUUCUCUCAGUCUACUCUAUGGUAACUGCAUGCCCCUGGUUUCUCAGGCCAAAAAACUUAGAGUCAUCCUUGGCACCUUCUCUCGUCCCAGAGCCAAUCUACAGUAAAUCCCAUGCACUCUAUCUUCAAAAUAUAUCCAGAAUCCUAUCCAUUUUCACCAUCACUUUCUUCCAUCCAUGUCUAAUCCAGCAUCAUCUCUUACUUGAAUUGUACAGAGCAAUAAACUCGCAACAGAUCUCCUUGCUUCUACCCUUGCCCCUCUGCCAGCCAUUCUCAAUAUAGCAGCCAGAAUGAUCUCUCGAAUUGCAUCACUCUUCUGCGCGAAACCCUCUAACGGCUUUUUAUCUCACUGGGACUAAAAGGCAAAAUCAUCAAAAGAGGGCUUCCCUGGUGGCGCAGUGGUUGAGAGUCCGCCUGCCAAUGCAGGGGACAUGAGUUCGUGCCCUGGUCCAGGUGGAUCCCACAUGCCGCGGAGCGGCUGGGCCCGUGAGCCAUGGCAGCUGAGCCUGCGCGUCCGGAGCCUGUGUUCCGCAACGGGAGAGACCACAACAGUGACAGGCCCGCGUAUCGCAAAAAAAAAAAAAAAAAAAAAAAAAACAACUAGGGCAAAAUCAUCAAAAGAGGGCUUCCCUGGUGGCGCAGUGGUUGAGAGUCCGCCUGCCGAUGCAGGGGACGCGGGUUCGUGUCCCGGUCCGGGAAGAUCCCACAUGCCGUGGAGCGGCUGGGCCCGUGAGCCAUGGCAGCUGAGCCUGCGCGUCUGGAACCUGUGCUCCGCAAUGGGAGAGGCCGCGGCGGUGAGAGGCCCGUGUACCGGGGAAAAAAAAAAAAAAUCAUCAAAAGACCCGCAAGGUCCUACAAGAGCUCCACCCCACCCCACCCCACCCCACCCCACCCCACCCCCACAUACAGUCCUUCUCUAACUCCCCCCUUUUAUGUUCUCCAUAUCCUGCCCUGGUUCACCAGACCCCAGCCACACUGGAGCUUAGAAUUUGUCCUGAGAGUGGUGGGAAGGCCCUGACAAGUUUUACAAGCCAUCUUUCUUUCUUCUCUGCCUAUAACGUAGGACAAAAGAUAGACAGUUAAUAUCACAGACCUGCACUACUACGAAACUGUUGCGAUGGGCCUUGCUGCCCCCAGCAAGGGCACAAAGGAUCCCUUUGCAUAGUUGGUGGGGCUUGAGAUACAUUUCUUAUUUUCCUUUUUGUGCCAAAAGAAAGAUUAAAAGCAGAAAAUUUAAAGACUGAAACUCUUAAUGUUUUUAAAAGUUUUUUCUUAAUUUUUUGUAUUAUACAAGUAUUAUAAGUAUUAAAAUUUGGAAUGUACAAAAGAGGUAAGGAAGGAAGGAGGGAGAAAGGGAGGGAAGGAGAGGGAGGAAAGGGGGAGGGAGAGAAAAAGAGAUAGAAAAGUAAGAAAGGAAGGAAGGAGGGAGGGAGGGAAGGAAGGAAAGAAGGAAGGAAGGAAGGAAGGGAAAGAAAGAAAAGAGAUGAAAGAAAGAGAGAGAAAGAAAGAAAGAAAGAAAGAAAGAAAGAAAGAAAGAAAGAAAGAAAGAAAGAAAGAAAGGAAGAAAUAAGGAAGGAAGGAAGGAAGGAAGGAAGGAAGGAAGGAAGGAAGGAAGGAAAGGAAAAAAAUCAAAGAACCUGCCACAUAAAACAGUUCCUAUUAACAAUUAUAUUAAAUUACUUUUUAAACCACCCCCACCCCUCCCCUCCCCAGGGAAGUGGGAGGAACAGUAGCUUCUCCUCUGAAGGCUUGACUUCAUUUAGGAUGCCACACCCUGCCCUGGCUGAGUUCACUUCUCACCCACAAGUUUUAGAAAAGGGGGUUUGCUUAUGAGUCCAUGACCUUUCUGGCAUUUCACUCAAGUAACUUCUGACUAGGUUUUGUCUUGGCCAUAAGGCUGUUUUUAAAAGAGAUUCUUGAUUUUUCUCUUGAUAGAAAAAGGAUAAAUUUAGUUGCACUACAUUUUCAGCAGUUUUAAUGAAUGAGUGAUAAAAUAUAAGCAGGCUACCCAAGAAUAGAAUAAAUCUUUUCAAAUUGAAAUGACCAUACAAACUCUCUUCUUCUCACUAGAAUCCCUCAUUAAAUUAUAUCAGGAUAGAAUUCUACUGAUCUCUGUGUUUUUUAAAAAUUGAUUUCUCCUUUUAUUUAUCUGUCACUGAAUAUACUAUCCUAUUAGUGUUAGGUUUUAUUAGUUCUAUUGUAACUAUUUUAAAAAGUUGUAAUAUUUUGUUUGGACAUCAUCAUUUUUGUUUAUAUAACUCUUUAAAGAUUGCUAUUUAUUGGUAGCCAUAAAAGAUGAAGCUUUAGGUCACAAUUCAGUACACAGAAAUAGUAAUUGAUAAAAAGUAAUUUAGAAAUUUUAAAAUAUAAAUGAAACUUUCCAAAUGGCAGUUGGUGACUCAUUGAUUACAGCAUCCAAUUAUAGCCAGUUUGGAUUAUUUUUAGAAUGAGGAAAGUACACAUUUAAUUAACAAACAAUAUGAAAUCUUUCCAAUUAUGUGCUUAAAAAUUUUCUGACCACAAAAAUUUAAGAACAUUUUCUAAUAAUUAUUUUGGUCAUUUUUUUCAUCACCCAUUCUCUUCACAAUUGAUCCAAUAAAAGUAUCUAUGAACAAUGCCCUAAAUAUGAUAGUUACAAGACUGGCAGAUUUCCAGAAUUUCAUUAUUAAAUAUAUUGGCUUGACAUUUGUUAUGCACAACAAAGUACAUUUGGCUAAAUUUAGUAUAAAAUUAAUGUUUGCAAAUCCUUUAGUUAUUUAUAACUAUAGGUAAAUUUCCAUUAUUUCUUAGGUGCAUAUUGUGAAAUAGUAGACCUAAAACACAACUUUUUUAAAAUGUGAAAGUGCCCCUUAAGUGAUUCUAUGCUGUCAUAACUUCUCUCAGAAAUCAAGUUUCAACAAAAGAAAUAAAUAUCAAUCAAGUAAAUCAUGGCUUAGAAAGCAAGGAUGUUUCUAAAUCAUUGAGCUCUUCUCAAAAUCAACUAAGAUGUACAGAACAAUUUCUACUGAAUUUUACAUGCAUUUUUUUCUUAUAGUCUCAUUUCAUCUUCAUAAUAAUCCACUAGGCUAAUUUCAAUAUCAUCUUCAUCUUAUACAUCAAUAACCUUAGGCUUAGAAAUGUUAAGUGAUUUUUUUAAAACAUCUUUAUUGGAGUAUAAUUGCUUUACAAUUUUGUGUUAGUUUCUGCUGUGAAACAAAGUGAAUCAGCUAUAUGUAUACAUAUAUCCCCAUAUCCCCUCCCUCUUGCACCUCCCUCCCACCCUCCCUCUCCUGUCCCUCUAGGUGGUCACAAAGCACCGAGCUGAUCUCCCUGUGCUAUGCAGCUGCUUCCCACUAGCUAUCUAUUUUACAUGAAAUGUUAGGUGACUUUUGCAAGGUCUCAUACCAGUGGCAGAUUUUGAAUUUGAACACAUAUUUGUCUGACUAAAAAUUUCAUUCUCUUAAUCACUGUUUUAAUAAGUCCAUAUCUCCAACCCUUUAAUUUCCAAAACAGUAAGUACUCUCCUCAUCACUCACCACCCAUUUAGGUAUAUAUUGCUUGGUGAUGUCUAAAAAAGACAAUGGUGACAAAUUAAGUAUCUGUGUACUUCUAAUCAGUAAUGUAGUGAUAUCUUAUUGUUUUAAUUUGCAUUUCCCUGAUGACAUAGGAUGUGGAGCAUCUUUUCAUAUGCGUAUUUACCAACCAUCUGUAUAUUUUCUUUGGUGAGGUGUUUGUUAAGGUCUUUGGCCCAUUUUUUUUUAACUGAGUUGGUAUAUUAUUUUUUAUCUUUUUAUUUUCAACCAAUUUGUGUCUUUUAUUCUGAAGUUUAUCUCUUAUAGACAGCAUAUAGUUGUAUCCUGACCUUUUUCCAGUCUGACAUCCUCUGCCACUAUAUUAGUGUUUAGCCCAUUUACAUUUAAUGUGAUUAUUAAUAUGGUUGGAUUUAUACCUGAAAUUUUGCUAUUUGUUUUCUUUAUGUCUCAUGUCUUUUUUGGACCUCCAUUCUUCCUUUAUUGCUUUCCUUAUGUUAAACAAUUAUUUUUAGUGUAGCAUCUUAAUUCCUCUGCUGAUUUAACUAUAAUUGUUUGGUGUUACUUUUUAACAGUUACUUUAAGAAAUACAAUAUGCCUUGUAAGUUUUCACAAUCUACUUUUGGUUAGUAAUCACAAUUCUGGUAAAGUUUAGCAAACUUGCUCUAAUAUAGCUUCAUUUUCUCAUAUAUAUUACAUAUUUAUAUGUUAUAAACCCAAAAGUAAAGUGUUAAAGUUAUUCUUUAAUACGAUCUUAGGUCUUUUUUUUUUUAAGUUAAGAGAAGAAAAGAUUAAAAUCUAUCUUUGUCUUAUAUUUACACAUAUUUACCAUUUCUGAUGCUCUUCAUUUCUUUGUGUGGAUUCAAACUGCCAUCUGGCACCACAUCCUGUCAGCCUGAAGUACAUCCUUUAGUAUUUCUUGAAGGCAGGCCUGCUAGGAAUAAAUUCCCUAAGAUUUUUUUUAUCUGGGAAUAUUUGUAAUUUACCCUCAUUUUUUGAAUCAUGGUUUUCCAGAACAUGAAGUUUACUCAUUUAUUUCUCAUCAAAUUUUCUAUUUUUACUGACAAUUCCAAUGGAUAUGGGUUUCUCACUUUCCACCCAGAUCAAGCCAGCCCUUCUAGCAGUGAAGCUGCUGGUUUUUACAGCCAGCCCCACCUUGGUAGCACUAUCAAGGUAUUAGGGUUGGGGAGUUGGAAACAUCCCCAGGCAAGAAUACCACAGACUCCCACUGCUUGUAUAGAAGUUCAGCAGUUUCUCACAAAUAAAUAUUUCUUAAUUUGUUGUUUGUCUUUGGUCUUUUCCCAGACUCCUGAAAUGAUCAUUUUUUGAAAUUUUUGUCUAGUUUUGUACUUGUUUUUUGGGGAGAGCAUUUUCUGCCAGAAGUACUGCUCUCUGAUUUAUAUAGAUUAAAUAUUCUCAAAGGAUUUAAUGCUUAGAACAGCCAUUGACUUAACGCUUUAUAAUUUUGGCUGCUCAGGGCAGUAGGAGUGAUUUCCUAUCCUAUUAUAGAAACUUAUUGCUCUAGAGUGUCACAUUUUAACUUUAUUUUUUCCUAUUGGAAGUAUAGCUAGUUCCUUUUCAUGAGAGAUAACAGGGGACUUACAUUUACUGAGCAUAUACCAGGCUACUGACAUGAUACACUCUCUCAUGCUCUAUUUCUCUUUAAAAUAAUGAUUGUGGGCUUUUUAUAACUGUAAAUGCAACAUAAACUGGUUUUUGAAAAAUUGAACAAUACAGAAAAGAUUCAUCUCUCCAGAAAUAUUUUAUAAUGUCACCAUCUAGAGAAAGACAUACUUAACAUCAGUCUACUUCCCCUCUCCCCCUCCACCCUUUAAAUCUGUGUGUGUGUGUGUUUUGAAAUUAGUUGCAGAAGGUGGGAAUUAAAUCUGCUCUCAAGAUCAUAGCCCUCUUCCAAGGUUCUAAGAUUUGUAAAAAUCUUUUUCUCAUUCCAACUACUGGGGUAGAAGAAAAAGCCAUAGCCCUUCGAACUUGAACAGUGCCUAAGACAUACAUUUUGGUUAUACAAAGAUAAGCAAAGAUUCUGUUCUUUAAGGAGAAACCAGAUGUUUAGCUCCAAAAACUAUAUUGCCCUCUAUAUGCAAGAGUUUUUUCUCUGUGGGUACAUAUUUUAUCCUCUAAGAAUUUUUAAAAUAUAAAUAUGGAUUGACUGCUUUGCUCUUAAAAAUUAUUGUUAACAGUAGGAUAGACUGCUAUCAGGAGAAAACUUGGACUAGAGAAGAAAAUAAUCUUAAUUUGAGCUGGUGCUUCCUCCUUUUUCUUUCUUUCUUUCUUUUUUUUUUUUUUAUAGGAAGCAAAAUGUAAUUUACAGCCAGGCCCAGGAAGAAGCAAAUCUUCAAUAACCAAGCGUAUGUUGGUUGAAAGAAGCAGCCAAACCAAUAGCAAUCUUUAAUGUCUUGUCUUCUUUCUCCCAAGAGGGAAAAAAUAAAUGCUGUUCUUGGUUAGUUUGAGUUUUACUCAUUUUUUUAGGUGAAGUGAGUAGGAAAUCGUUGGCUGCUCUCAUUGAUGGGGAAACAAAUAGAACUGGAGUAUCCCCAUAACUCUCAGUCCAGAAAGGACAGCUAGUUCCUCUUUUCCCAGGAGCUGACGCAGUCUGAGUGGAAGGGAGUCAUCAUUACCAUCUAACCAAAGCCUGAGGCAUUCCCCUGAAAUGUUGAGAAAGAGGGGAAAAAGUUCUUUCUCCAGUAGAUGGGACUGGACUCUCCCAAGGGAACAGAAGCUGUGAGGCCACUCAGUUGAGGGAGUUUGAUGGCAGAGGCUGUGAGAGAACAGAGGAGAACUGAGGGAAGAGGGGGUUGUGGAAGAAGAGAUUGAUUGAUCAGUCAGUGCAGACUCUGUAAACCUAUUUGGUAGCCAUGGUGAGGAUCUGCUCUUGACUCAGUUCUAGGGAAGCUAUCAGUCUAAGAUGCAUGUGGGUACUGCACCAGAGUUCCAAACUAUCUCAAAUGGACCCAAUAUGUAGUCCAUCUGCACUGUAUUUUUUUAGCUUCUGAGAGCAAGAUAUUUUUGAAAUCCAAAUAAUAAGAUAAUCCCAAUUUCAUGUCUUUGGGUUUCCCACAAGCAGAAAAUCAGGUGACCACUCAACAUGCUCUGUACCCAAGGAACACAAUCUUGGACAUACCAAGCAGCUGGGCUCCUUAUUUCCACACACUCGUCUGUGAGUACUAUCUUUACAUAGCCCAAAUGCUCAUUAAAUUGCUCCCCCAAAGAAAAGAUGAAUUCUCUUUGGAGGUAUAAAAUGCAGCUUGUGAAAUCGUAAUAGUUUUUCAAUCUGGGAAAGCCACCCCAAAACUCUGCUAAAAUGAUCAGGGAUUCCCUGGUUUCUUGUUCAGAACUUAUAUCUAGGAUCUUAAUUAUUCCAUUUAGAUUUUUUUUAACAUGGUGCCUGGUUUUUUGCGAACAAUGUCUUUGGACUGGAAAAAUAUAACUUCCUAUAUCAUACCAAUUCCCUAGAUUAGAAAGAGAAGGGUUACGUCACCCAUCAGGCUUGGCUGCUAACUCAGCGUAGCCAGGCAAACCUGCCCUUUUCUGUAGAUGGGCUAUGAGCAUUUGUUGAGUUGUUCUAACAGAGAUCACAGUUAUUGUACUUACCCUUGAUUGAGAACUUUGUUUUUCCAUAAACAAAGUUUCGAGUUUCUGUGUUGCUAAGGAACUUCAGAAGGGCUGAAGGUGUGGUAGGGGUGGUGCAGGGCAAGAAUAAUGAAAGGCCUAUGAACUCAGGCAACUGGAAGGCUGAGACAUGUCGUAGUCCAAGUCCAUUCAUAUCAUGAGGUCAGUCAUUACUAGUGUAAUUUUUGUUUUCUCUUGAAAAAGUAGAAAAUUAGUGUCCCAGAUCAUGUUCCUGGAGCUCAAAGAAAUAUCAUGAGCAAUGAAUGAAGUGUGGAUUUUAUCCAAGCACUGUAGUCUGUCUACAUAGAACAUAUGUAUGUGGGGCAUAUCUACAAAAUUGUUCCGCUUUAUUGAAGCUAACUGUGAAAAGUGUAAUUAAAGAGAGACUUAAGGCUAGAAAUUCUGGCUACCCUGGGGAUAGACUGAAUUAGGCCACAAAACUUUACUCUUAGCAUAUUAAACCAAUAGCUUAAGAAAAAAUUAGCCCACAUGGGCCCUCACCUACAUUAAUAGUAAAAUAUCCUUUGUAAAUUAGUCAUCAGCCAACUAACCCAGCUUUUCAUCCUGAAGUAAUAAUCCUCUUUUAGCUAGUCACACAGCUAUAAACUAUAAGCAAAAUGAAGAGCUCAUAAUCUUUGGAAGGAAAAGAUAAUAUUAAAAUCCCAAACAAAACUCUUGCCCAAAGCUUCAUUUAGACCUGCCUGACAGCAAAAUUGUAUUAAUGAGGUUAACUUUAAUAUAAUAAUUUUAUAUGAAACAAAAAUUUGAUGGUUGCAAUAUUUAUUUUUUGCCCACAACGUCAAAGGGUAAAGAAUAUAUAGUUUAUACUUAAUCAUCCUUAGACAGGCUUAAGAACUUAAAAGAAUAAUAACAGUAAAAACAAGGAAGAAGGAAAAAACCUUAAUAACUAUACGCUGGACCAUCAUAGUUGACACAUUUUCCAACAACUGCAAGUAGAAAUGAGUUUUCCAAAUGUCAACUUGAUAGAAAUUAAAAGUAUGGAUUUGCCCAAAAAUCCUGAUAUUUGGGAUGUUUCUUACAUCAAACGUAGUCAGGGUGAACUAUGUACUAAACCAAUACGGUUAGAGAAAUGGAGAUAAUACUGAAAGGAAAAAGCUUUGAAAAGUUCAACCUGCAGCAUGACAUGACCAGAAUAAUUAGGAUGAUGAUGAGAACAAAGCAAAAGUACAGAAAAAACUCUUAAUGGGGCGUUUCAUGUGAAUUAGCUCAUUUAGUCAUCAUAACAAUUUUAUGAUGUAAUUACAACUAUUAUCUCUGUUACGAAUGAGAAAACCAAGGCUUGUAGAGUUUAAGCAGCUGCUUCAGUCACAGAAUUAACAUGUGAGGAAGUCUCUCCAGCUGUAAAACUGCGAUGGUGAAUCAUACAAUCCCUUAUCACUCAAACGUACCUGUCUGUCUGCAUUUCCAAGUCACCUCCUUUGCCUGGUCUUUAAAUCUCUAAUUGUCUCUGUCUGUCUUUCUCUCUGUCUCUCUCUCUCACACACACACACGUAUGGCAUCUGAUUAUCUCUGUCUCUUACCCUAGUAAUUUGGCCUUUGUAAGCAGGCAAGUGGCCCUGAUGUUCUGUCCAAAAAGAUAUUGGGGAACAUAUAGCAUUAAAAAGAACAGAUAUUAAAAAGGGGAAAAAAAACCUUCUGUUCCUUAACUCUUGGCCAUUAUGUCCACUUGUGAUACCCACCAAUGUUGCACCAUCAGCAGCCUUGCCAGAUCUUCCCUAUUCCUAAAGGUUAGCCCAUUAGCUGAUUUUCCUUUGGAUUGGAAGAAGAAAAUGAUUAUGUGCAUGAAUAGAUAAUAUGAGUAAGUGGCCGGAAGCCAUUUUGAGUGGCAGAAUUCCCAUUUGCCGAAAACAUGAAAGUGACACCAAGUCACCACUUGGAAGCAGCCUAGGUCAGUGGCUAUAGCUCCAUGUUACCUAUCAUCACAGCACCAACCUCCAAGUUCUCUUUCUUGGCUACAAUCUAAAAGUCAGAUGCUGAGGCCCUUGAUGGAUAUGCAGCAAUGAUAAGAAGAGAGCGCUUUACCACAAGCUGGAAGCCAUCUCUGAUUCAAAGUGCUGAGUGAACACUUAGUCCCCACCCCUGCUGCUCCAUGUGUAAAGAGCACCUUCAGAGUCUCACUCUUGCCAUCACUCCACGUGCUUACCUACUCAUUUCCAGAGGACCACGAGGGAACCGACGGGAAAACCCAACUACUACUGGACAGCUUUGAUGACCCUAUCACCUACUUCACAGAAUGCAGAAAUUCAGGAUGCAAUACAACUGAUUUGCUAAAGAGAUUGGGAAGGAUUUCUUAGCUUAGCUACAAAUGAGGACCAGAAUGCCUCGUGGAGUCAAAACUUGACCACACCUACUAAAUUAGCAGUGGCCCUGGGAUGUGGUCUGGGAUGAUUUCCAAACAAGUGUUAAGCAUUAUUUGUCAUGGACUUUUGGCAAUAAAAUGUUUAACUUUUUUAUUAAAGAUCACUAAGACGUU
This is a long non-coding RNA of Orcinus orca (killer whale), 11829 nucleotides long. RefSeq lists it as uncharacterized. The transcript has 3 exons. The record is from RefSeq and is a predicted model, not a curated record. Lineage: Eukaryota; Metazoa; Chordata; Mammalia; Artiodactyla; Delphinidae.